AUUGAACGCUGGCGGCAGGCCUAACACAUGCAAGUCGAGCGGAUGAAGGGAGCUUGCUCCUGGAUUCAGCGGCGGACGGGUGAGUAAUGCCUAGGAAUCUGCCUGGUAGUGGGGGAUAACGUCCGGAAACGGGCGCUAAUACCGCAUACGUCCUGAGGGAGAAAGUGGGGGAUCUUCGGACCUCACGCUAUCAGAUGAGCCUAGGUCGGAUUAGCUAGUUGGUGGGGUAAAGGCCUACCAAGGCGACGAUCCGUAACUGGUCUGAGAGGAUGAUCGGUCACACUGGAACUGAGACACGGUCCAGACUCCUACGGGAGGCAGCAGUGGGGAAUAUUGGACAAUGGGCGAAAGCCUGAUCCAGCCAUGCCGCGUGUGUGAAGAAGGUCUUCGGAUUGUAAAGCACUUUAAGUUGGGGGGAAGGGCAGUAAGUUAAUACCUUGCUGUUUUGACGUUACCAACAGAAUAAGCACCGGCUAACUUCGUG
RNAcentral lists this ribosomal RNA (484 nucleotides) under uncultured bacterium. Its description in RNAcentral is "partial 16S ribosomal RNA". It matches the Rfam family "Bacterial small subunit ribosomal RNA", at positions 30 to 507 of the family's 1533-position model. The record is from RNAcentral.